This 309-nucleotide ribosomal RNA is filed under the name uncultured bacterium. RNAcentral's name for it is "bacterial SSU rRNA". It matches the Rfam family "Bacterial small subunit ribosomal RNA", at positions 28 to 318 of the family's 1533-position model. The record is from RNAcentral.
GACGAACGCUGUCGGCGCGCCUAACACAUGCAAGUCGAACGGAGUUGCUGAAGCUGAAUUUUUCGGAAGGACGCAUUAGUAACUUAGUGGCGGACGGGUGAGUAACGCGUGAGUAACCUGCCUUUCAGAGGGGGAUAACGUUUGGAAACGAACGCUAAUACCGCAUAACAUAACGAGGUCGCAUGGCUUUGUUAUCAAAGGAGCAAUCCGCUGGAAAAUGGACUCGCGUCCAAUUAGCUAGUUGGUGAGGUAAAGGCCCACCAAGGCGACGAUUGGUAGCCGGACUGAGAGGUUAAACCCUUAUCUACG